RNAcentral lists this ribosomal RNA (144 nucleotides) under uncultured eubacterium ZII-1. RNAcentral describes it as "partial 16S ribosomal RNA". It matches the Rfam family "Bacterial small subunit ribosomal RNA", at positions 355 to 491 of the family's 1533-position model. The record is from RNAcentral.
UGGGGAAUAUUGGACAAUGGGCGAAAGCCUGAUCCAGCCAUGCCGCGUGUGUGAAGAAGGUCUUCGGAUUGUAAAGCACUUUAAGUUGGGAGGAAGGGCAGUAAAUUAAUACUUUGCUGUUUUGACGUUACCGACAGAAUAAGC